Molecule: ribosomal RNA, 684 nt
Filed under: Triticum aestivum (bread wheat)
Lineage: Eukaryota; Viridiplantae; Streptophyta; Magnoliopsida; Poales; Poaceae
Description: partial small subunit ribosomal RNA
Source: RNAcentral
AUGUUCUUUAUUUGGAAUUGCAUAGCAAGGUUCUUCUUCCUCAAAUUUGACAUGUGCCUUUUGGUCAGCCAUAAAAAGAAGACUAUAUUGUUCACUAGAGACAUGGUGCAAAAAAAAUUUAAUGUCCCAUCCGGACCAAGGGUAGUGGAGCUGCUGAAGAGGAACGAACGUUGCGAGCUACGCGACAUAUAUCGAGAAGGCACAAGGGCUCCAAUUAAGAAAUCCAUUUCUGUAAUCAAGAAAGCAUCGGAUAAUGAUGUUGUUACUUUAGAGAGGACUUGGGUUCUUUUAUGCCUUGCUCUUGUGCUAGUUCCUGGCACCGGCAACAUGGUCUCGUUGGACUACCUUGCUAGCUUGAAGGACUUGGAUGAACUGAAUGAGUUUGCGUGGGACGAGCAUGUGUUGGCAACUGCGUUGAGGGAGGCGAGGAAUUACCAACUAAAGAGGGAGGCUGGGGCAAGUGGCUUCUGGAUAGGGGGCUGUCUACCUAUGUUCGUGGUAUGCCAAACGCAAAUCAUUUUUGUCUAUGUUUUCAUUGGUUCAUAUUUUUGCUUUACUUUAUUUUAUUUUAUUCUGCUCGCAACAAUCAUAUGUACGAUACAACCUUCUGAUUUGUUUUCUUUUUCAAAAAUAUAUGUAGUUAAUUUAGAUGGAUUUCCUGGAUGUGCCUCGGUCAUUGAUUAG